AGAGUUUGAUCCUGGCUCAGGACAAACGCUAACGGUGCGCCUAAUACAUGCAAGUCGAACGAGCGAUGUAGAAGUGGCAACACUUUUACAAAGCAAGUGGCGAACGGGUGAGUAACGCGUAGGUAAUCUGCCUUGGAGAUUGGGACAACCAUUCGAAAGAAUGGCUAAUAUCAAAUACCUUAUAUUAAUCGCAUGAUUUUUAUAAUAAAGGGGGCUUUUAGCUCUCGCUUCAAGAUGAACCUGCGUCCUAUUAGCUUGUUGGUGAGGUAGAAGCUCACCAAGGCAACGAUAGGUAGCCGGCCUGAGAGGGUGAUCGGCCACACUGGGACUGAGAUACGGCCCAGACUCCUACGGGAGGCAGCAGUAGGGAAUCUUGCGCAAUGGGCGAAAGCCUGACGCAGCGACACCGUGUGAUGGAUGAAGGCCUUAGGGUUGUAAACUUCUGUCAAUUGGGGACGAAGGUAGUAGGGUUAAUACCCCGAAUACUGACGUACCCAAUAAGGAAGUCUCGGCUAACUCCGUGCCAGCAGCCGCGGUAAGACGGACGAGGCAAGCGUUGUCCGGAAUCAUUGGGCAUAAAGAGCGCGUAGGCUGUUUUUCAAGUCAUAUGUGAAAACCUCAGGCUUAACUUGAGGACUGCAUAUGAAACUGGAUAACUUGAGUGCAGUAGGGGAAAGUGGAAUUCCUGGUGUAGCGGUGAAAUGCGCAGAUAUCAGGAAGAACACCGGUAGCGAAGGCGGCUUUCUGGCUGCUACUGACGCUGAGGCGCGAAAGCUAGGGGAGCAAACAGGAUUAGAUACCCUGGUAGUCCUAGCUGUAAACGAUGGACACUAGGUGUGGGGAGUUAUCGACGCUUUCCGUGCCGGAGCUAACGCAUUAAGUGUCCCGCCUGGGGAGUACGGUCGCAAGACUAAAACUCAAAGGAAUUGACGGGGGCCCGCACAAGCGGCGGAGCAUGUGGCUUAAUUCGACACAACGCGAAGAACCUUACCAAGGCUUGACAUCAUAUUGACGAUUAUAGAAAUAUAAUUUCUCUUCGGAGCAAUAUGACAGGUGGUGCAUGGCUGUCGUCAGCUCGUGUCGUGAGAUGUUGGGUUAAGUCCCGCAACGAGCGCAACCCUUGUCCCAUGUUGCUAACAGUUCGGCUGAGCACUCUUGGGAUACUGCCAGCGUAAAGCUGGAGGAAGGUGGGGAUGGCGUCAAGUCAUCAUGCCCUUUAUGCCUUGGGCCGCUCACGUGCUACAAUGGACCGUACAAAGAGCAGCGAUACUGUGAAGUGGAGCAAAUCUGUCAAAGCGGUUCAAAGUCCGGAUUGAAGGCUGAAAUUCGCCUUCAUGAAGUAGGAGUCGCUAGUAAUCGUGGAUCAGAACGCCACGGUGAAUACGUUCCCGGGCCUUGUACACACCGCCCGUCACACCACGAAAGUUGGAUACACCCAAAGAUAGUAUACUAACCGGCAACGGAGGAAACUAUUUAAGGUGGAGCCAGUGAUUGGGGUGAAGUCGGAACAAGGUA
RNAcentral lists this ribosomal RNA (1515 nucleotides) under metagenome. Its description in RNAcentral is "bacterial SSU rRNA". It matches the Rfam family "Bacterial small subunit ribosomal RNA". The record is from RNAcentral.